GGUAGUCUUGGCCAUAAACGAUGUUCACUAGGUGUUGGGGCUUUGCCUCGGUGCCGCAGCUAACGCAUUAAGUGAACCGCCUGGGAACUACGAUCGCAAGAUUAAAACUCAAAGGAAUUGGCGGGGGCCCGCACAAGCGGUGGAGCAUGUGGCUUAAUUCGAUGCAACGCGAAGAACCUUACCAGGGCUUGACAUGGAUCUGCAAGCUACCGAAAAGUAGUCGCCUUCGAGGGUGAUUCACAGGUGGUGCAUGGCUGUCGUCAGCUCGUGUUGUGAAAUGUUGGGUUAAG
Molecule: ribosomal RNA, 290 nt
Filed under: uncultured bacterium
Lineage: Bacteria
Description: partial 16S ribosomal RNA
Rfam family: Bacterial small subunit ribosomal RNA
Source: RNAcentral